UACCGAUGUGCUCUCAGAUCUAGUAUGUCAUGUUUUAAAGAUCUAUGAUUUCAUCGGUGUGAG
This is a microRNA precursor of Monodelphis domestica (gray short-tailed opossum), 63 nucleotides long. The record is from Ensembl. NCBI's taxonomy places the organism in Eukaryota, Metazoa, Chordata, Mammalia, Didelphimorphia, Didelphidae.